AACGCGAAGAACCUUACCUGGGCUUGACAUGCCAGGAUUAUCCCCAUGAAAGUGGGGUAGGCCCUUCGGGGUACAACUGGUACAGGUGCUGCAUGGCUGUCGUCAGCUCGUGUCGUGAGAUGUCGGGUUAAGUCCCUUAACGAGCGAAACCUUUGCCCUUAGUUACCAGCGGGUUAUGCCGGGGACUCUAAGGGGACUGCCGGUGUCAAACCGGAGGAAGGUGGAGAUGACGUCAAGUCCUCAUGGCCUUUAUGCCCAGGGCCACACACGUGCUACAAUGGGGUGCACAAAGCGAACCGAGAGCGCAAGCUGGUGGAAAUCGCAUAAAUCACCCCCCAGUUCAGAUUGGAGGCUGCAACUCGCCUCCAUGAAGAUGGAAUCGCUAGUAAUCGCGGAUCAGCUACGCCGCGGUGAAUGUGUUCCCGGGCCUUGUACACACCGGUAUCUC
RNAcentral lists this ribosomal RNA (448 nucleotides) under uncultured bacterium. RNAcentral's name for it is "bacterial SSU rRNA". It matches the Rfam family "Bacterial small subunit ribosomal RNA", at positions 958 to 1400 of the family's 1533-position model. The record is from RNAcentral.